GUUUCCACUUUGCAACCUCCCGCUCCGUUAUCUCUAAGCCAAUCGCCGCCGUGAGUGAUAACGAGUAAAAUCAACAAACAUGAAUUUCUCCUGAUCAACUAUGAAGAUACGCUUGUCAAAAUUGAUCAGGCUUUUAUGCCUUUUGAUUUUAAUAUGCAUGUUCGCCCAGUUGAUCUUUAUUCUCACGCAGACAGAAUUUUCACAGUCUUUCUUCAACACCGGCGUGAGGUACGACUUCGAGGACCUGGAUUUCGUGGCGAAGAAACACACCCUUAAACUGUACAUCCUAGGACCAGAGUCGCUGACAGGCGAAGAUCGUGAUAAGUUAUAUUUCAAAAAUGGUGAUAUCGUUUAUUUGGGAAUCGACUUUGAAUCUGUGACUACAACCCAGUUGCAAGCUUUUGGGAGAUCCCUGAGCAAAUUGGGCUUUGCUUUAAUGGAAUUCUUCAACAAGGACUAUUUUGAAUUGCAUAAAAACGUUUAUAUAACAGUUAGUAUGGUAUUGAAGAGGAACGUGUUGAUUUGUAUUUACAUCUUAUACACCAAAGAGGACAAUUCCUGGUGGUUUGGUGCUUUGAGUAAAGAUGAACAAUGGCAUUACAAAUUUGCCGUUUUGGAUGUAAAUCCUUCACUCUAUUCGAGUAUACUAUCUAAAGAGAAGCUUAUUAAAAAAUUUGCAGCAGUUGAAAUUGAAAAGCCGUUCAACAGUUUCUUAAGGCCAAAACAUUACAGCCGAUAUCUGGAGGAUUUUAAACAUUCACAGUUUGUCCCAUGUAACAGUAGCAGAGCAUUGCUGUUCCAAAGGAAAUUUGAACAUGCUGCAGAAUUAACCACAUCAGCCAUAAGAUUUAAACACAGAGCUUGGAAAUUACUCACUGUAGUGCGUACAGUUUUUGACAAUUUGUCUAUCCCGUUUUGGUUAAGCAGUGGGACUUGUUUAGGUUAUUACCGUCAGUGUAGCAUAAUACCGUACACGAAAGAUGUUGACAUUGGUGUUUUUGCAAGUAAUUACUCCGAUCGAAUAAUUUCCGCUUUAGAAAAGCAGGAUAUCAAAUUGAUGCUGUGGCUUGGCGAAUUGGAAGAUUCUCUUGAACUAUCUUUUCGCGACAAGUAUGGCAUUAAAUUGGACAUAUUUUUCUUUUACGACAAUGGAAGGAACAUGUGGAAUGGUGGCACACAAGUGAGAACCGGAAAAAAAUUCAAAUACUUGUUUCCCAGAUUUGAACUCUGCUGGACAUUGUUUUUAACCAUAAAGAUUCGGUAUCUGAAAUUUCUGAGGUUUCGCUAAAGAUGGAAGGAAGCUGACUUGGCUGGCAGAAACAGAUGAAAAUUAACAUUCAAUUCAUCAGGGAAACUCCUGUAUUUCAAGAGUAUUAGAAGGUAACCUUGUACGGAUCUCGAGUCAUAGAAGAUGGACCAUAUUCACCCGACUCAGAGUAGGCCUGACGCACAGAUUUUUACUUUCAUACCAAAGCGUCUGGAAGAAAAGAAUAUGCAGUGUUUAUGGAGUGAAUUUUCCAAUUUUUUGGCUUCAAAGGCAAACCACCUUGGUCUAGGAAGUUACAAGAGGAUGCCCACAGGGCCUGCAUUAGACCCAGCGUUUUGGUCACAUAUGGAGUUGUCGUUGUAAGACAUCCUCCUUCAAAGUAAAUUUCUUCAUGACAAAUUGGAGAGAUAUUGAAUAACUUACAAAGCAUAUAAGUAGAAGCUGCUAGAAUGGCUGAUAAAUGUCCAAAAAGCUCAAGAUUUGUAAAAAAAAAAUAGGUAGAUAAGGUAUGGCAAAGCAGGUGGGACAUAUUAGAACGACAAAUUCAACUAAAUUAUAAUUUUAUUAAUUAUAAAACAGUGUUUGAAAAAAAAAUAUGUCACAGGAUAAUAUAUGACAUAAAGAAUUUUGUGUGUGCGUUUAAUCCUACUAAAUUUGCUAUUAUUACAUUUUUAAAAAUUUUUUUCUAAAACUGUCAUGUGCAUGAAAACAGUUGGCUAAAUAUUCUAAAAUACAUUAAAUGAGAUUUCAUUCUUAAAAAUAAAUAAUACAGAUAAUGCACAUUUUUGUGAUAAUGUCUAAAUCACCAGUAUAUUUAACGCAUAGAUUCUAAUGCGUGGGUUUAGCCUGAUAACAACUAUUGCUACAUAUCUUUAUGAGUAUUCUAGGACUAGAAUAUCUUUAUAUUCUACAAUGAUACAGUGAUUUAUAUUUGUUUAUAAUUUUUUACCCACUCGUUAUAUCGACUGACCUGAGAACAAAUGUUAAAAACGCAAAACUCUAAAUCAAAAUAUUGCUUGUAGACAUAAAAUAUUUUUAUAUACGUUUUGUUGGUCUGUCAACAUUUUCUAAAAGAUCAAAAAUUAAUUGAUAUUAGUGUUUUUUUUAAAUACUGAAGUAAUAAAAAAUAAGUAGUUCAUAUCCUCCAAAUAAUUUGAAAUUUAGAAUAUACUACAAAUUAAAUAUCUAUAAUUCAUUAAUAAAUGCAAUUUCUGUCAAUUUUAAAAAUGAAAUUAAGUAUUGCACAACGAAGUACACAAUUGUUUACCCUUUUGACAAGUUUGAAGAUUACCUUUAACAUUUAUAUAACAAUAACAUGAAUUAUAUAAAAUAUGUCGUUUGUAAAAUAAAAUUGUAACCACAAAAAUUAACAAAUUUUAAUUCUCAUAAAAAAAGUUUCAAUUAUAUUGCACAAUUUUCUUACAAAAGUCAUUUAUAAAAUCAAUCAAUAAAUGUAUAAAAAUAUUAUUUUUUAUGAUAUUAAUUUGUUUAUCUGAAUAAGGCACCAUAUGUAGCGCAUUAAUUUUUAGAAAUAUUUUGUUUUAUCCAUGACUCUCGUAUUUUGGAUUUAUUGUCUUUUAACAAGUGGUAACAGUGAUAAUCUAGUGAUUCGUCUAAGUGUUAAAUUUUGCCAAUUUGAUUGUGACAAUUUUCAAAAAGAUCCACAUUCCCUUAAAACCCUGUUUCCCAAUGGUAAAGGCGGA
RNAcentral lists this unclassified non-coding RNA (2970 nucleotides) under Cimex lectularius (bed bug). Its description in RNAcentral is "fukutin-like, transcript variant X4". The record is from RNAcentral. Lineage: Eukaryota; Metazoa; Arthropoda; Insecta; Hemiptera; Cimicidae.